CCUACGGGAGGCAGCAGUGAGGAAUAUUGGUCAAUGGGCGCGAGCCUGAUCCAGCCAAGUCGCGUGAGGGAAGACGGUCCUAUGGACUGUAAACCUCUUUUGCCGGGGAGCAAAAGACGCCACGCGUGCCGUUCCGAGAGUCCCCGAAGAAAAAGCAUCGGCUAACUCCGUGCCAGCAGCCGCGGUAAUACGGAGGAUGCGAGCGUUAUCCGGAUUUAUUGGGUUAAAAGGGUGCGCAGGCGGAAGCUCAAGUCAGAGGGAAAAUUGAGAGGCUCAACCUCUUAGAGCCGUUGAAACUGGUUGGCUUGAGUGAGUGAGAGGUAUGCGGAAUGCGUGGUGUAGCGGUGAAAUGCAUAGAUAUUACGAAGAACUCCGGUGGCGAAGGCGGCAUACCGGCGCUUAACUGACGCUGAUGCACGAAGGUGUGGGUAGCGAACAGGAUUAGAUACCCUGGUAGUC
RNAcentral lists this ribosomal RNA (459 nucleotides) under uncultured bacterium. RNAcentral's name for it is "partial 16S ribosomal RNA". It matches the Rfam family "Bacterial small subunit ribosomal RNA", at positions 338 to 795 of the family's 1533-position model. The record is from RNAcentral.